CGGCUGUCGGCGCGCGGCACGCGGCUCGUCGAAGGGGCCGGUGUGUCGAAGCGCCAGGGCGGCGCGUUCAUGCCGGGCGUGCCCGA
This 86-nucleotide transfer RNA is filed under the name Burkholderia paludis. Its description in RNAcentral is "tRNA-Ser". Lineage: Bacteria; Pseudomonadati; Pseudomonadota; Betaproteobacteria; Burkholderiales; Burkholderiaceae. The record is from RNAcentral.